GUGCCAGCCGCCGCGGUAAUACGUAGGGGGCAAGCGUUGUCCGGAAUUAUUGGGCGUAAAGCGCGCGCAGGCGGCCUUGUAAGUCUGUCGUUUAAACUCGGAGCUCAACUUCGAGUCGCGAUGGAAACUGCAAAGCUUGAGUGCAGAAGAGGAAAGUGGAAUUCCACGUGUAGCGGUGAAAUGCGUAGAGAUGUGGAGGAACACCAGUGGCGAAGGCGACUUUCUGGGCUGUAACUGACGCUGAGGCGCGAAAGCGUGGGGAGCAAACAGGAUUAGAUACCCUCGUAGUCC
RNAcentral lists this ribosomal RNA (291 nucleotides) under uncultured bacterium. RNAcentral describes it as "partial 16S ribosomal RNA". It matches the Rfam family "Bacterial small subunit ribosomal RNA", at positions 505 to 796 of the family's 1533-position model. The record is from RNAcentral.